This 500-nucleotide ribosomal RNA is filed under the name uncultured bacterium. RNAcentral's name for it is "partial 16S ribosomal RNA". It matches the Rfam family "Bacterial small subunit ribosomal RNA", at positions 899 to 1397 of the family's 1533-position model. The record is from RNAcentral.
ACUCAAAUGAAUAGACGGGGACCCGCACAAGCGGUGGAGCAUGUGGUUUAAUUCGAGGCAACGCGAAGAACCUUACCAGGCCUUGACAUGUCCAGUUUGGAUCACAGAGAUGAGAUCCUUCACCUCGGGUGGCUGGAACACAGGUGCUGCAUGGCUGUCGUCAGCUCGUGUCGUGAGAUGUUGGGUUAAGUCCCGCAACGAGCGCAACCCUCGUCCUUAGUUGCCAUCAUUCAGUUGGGAACUCUAAGGAAACUGCCUAUGAUAAGUAGGAGGAAGGUGGGGACGACGUCAAGUCAUCAUGGCCCUUACGGCCUGGGCUACACACGUGCUACAAUGGCGGUGACAAUGGGCAGCAAGCGUGCAAGCGCAAGCCAAUCCCUAAAAACCGUCUCAGUUCGGAUUGCACUCUGCAACUCGAGUGCAUGAAGCUGGAAUCGCUAGUAAUCGUAGAUCAGCAUGCUACGGUGAAUACGUUCCCGGGUCUUGCACACACCGCCCGU